Molecule: ribosomal RNA, 468 nt
Filed under: uncultured bacterium
Lineage: Bacteria
Description: partial 16S ribosomal RNA
Rfam family: Bacterial small subunit ribosomal RNA
Source: RNAcentral
GACGAACGCUGGCGGCGUGCUUAACACAUGCAAGUCGAACGGAAAGGCCCUGCUUUUGUGGGGUGCUCGAGUGGCGAACGGGUGAGUAACACGUGAGUAACCUGCCCUUGACUUUGGGAUAACUUCAGGAAACUGGGGCUAAUACCGGAUAGGAGCUCCUGCUGCAUGGUGGGGGUUGGAAAGUUUCGGCGGUUGUGGAUGGUCUCGCGGGUUAUCAGCUUGUUUGUGGGGUAGUUGCUUACCAAGGCUUUGACGGGUAGCCGGCCUGAGAGGGGUAACGGCCACAUUGGGCCUGAGAUACGGCCCAGUAUCCUACGGGAGGCAGCAGGGGGGAAUCUUGCACAAUGGGCGGAAGCCUGAUGCAGCAACGCCGCGUGCGGGAUGACGGCCUUCGGGUUGUAAACCGCUUUCGCCUGUGACGAAGCGUGAGUGACGGUAAUGGGUCAAGAAGCACCGGCUAACUACGUG